RNAcentral lists this long non-coding RNA (327 nucleotides) under Mytilus galloprovincialis (Mediterranean mussel). The record is from RNAcentral. Lineage: Eukaryota; Metazoa; Mollusca; Bivalvia; Mytilida; Mytilidae.
UAUAUAUAUAUAUAUAUAUAUAUAUUACGGAUUACAAAUGUGUCGAGGUUUGUGAUUGGAUAACAACACAGAGAUGUCAGUAUAUAUUCAGGAAACUGCCGGGGUAUAUACAACGUUUUUAUCCCCAAUUGGAACCUCAAAAACGUCAUCAUAACACCGGUUACUAUGUGACGUAGUCAAAAGCUAUCAGACUGUCAGAGGCUCACAGAGGGAAAAUAAUGACGUGCUUAAGUCAAUAAUACAUUUUUGAUACAAAAUCACGCAUUUUACACUUUAAUACUUAAAUUUAAUGUUAAAAGUUUUAUUAUAAAUUAUUACAUACACGAU